AGAGACAGAGAGAGAGAGAGCACGCGCAAAUUGAUAAGGUCCGUCCGGUAACACGGAUCUAAGCUGUGAUGCGUGCGCGCGCGCGAGCAAAGAGUUACAUUAACCGACACGCAGGCGAACCCGCGUCUCUGUUUCGAAGCGUGUACACACACGGUGUAGCGGCCGUGUCGUGUAAAUCGAGAAUCAACGGGGGAACAACGCACGCACAUAGAUCACGUGUACACACGUGUGCGCGCGCGCGCGCGCUUGUACGCGCUUGUACGUGGAUUUAGUUCCGCAUCCGAGGCCAUCCGACAACGGGGAACAAUUCGGCACGCGAGUUAGAUGAGCGGCCGGAGAUGAGCCAGACGUGCAGUUCCGUGCCACGCGUUUACAUCCCGUUGUUGACUUUACGACGAUGCUACGCGGGGCGUGCGCCAAAGUGCGUACGUGGGGGUGCGCGCAGGGGUGCGUGCCGUAUAGACUUGUCCGCUUCCUUCAGAGAUACUUCAGGAUUACUGCAAUGAGUGUCGCGACAUCUCGUGUGAACAGAUGCAUUUUCGCCGUGACAAAGUCACCCGUCUGUCGGCGCCCUUAAUUUUAUAUCAAUAGACCAUUGAAUCGGAAAAAGUUGCAUAUUACUUUAAUGUACUUUAAGAUUAAACUGUGUGGCAGUAAUCGUGCACGCUGAUUGGACGAUCAUCUCACCGAUAGAAUGGAUUCAAUGCUGCAAUUUUGUUGAAAAAUAAAAUAUUUGUAUUUCUCCAGAUAUACAGCAUAUAAAUGUUUUAAAACAGA
This is a long non-coding RNA of Monomorium pharaonis (pharaoh ant), 777 nucleotides long. RefSeq lists it as uncharacterized. The record is from RefSeq and is a predicted model, not a curated record. NCBI's taxonomy places the organism in Eukaryota, Metazoa, Arthropoda, Insecta, Hymenoptera, Formicidae. The transcript has 3 exons.